AAUAUUGUGAACUCUCAUUUGGUCCAAGUUACAGACAUUGUCUUUUUUAAAUGUUUUUAUUUCUGAAAAUUGAUGCCCAAUUAAGUCACACUGGCUCUUUUUCCACAGACCCUGUAGAGACGGAGAUGGAUAAUUGUGCCCUGGAGAAGCUCUGAUACCAGCUUUUACCAAGUUCUUAACAGAGUUCACAAGACUUCUCUGUGUUAAUCCCUGACCAUGCCGAAAAGCUAUUUGAAACUUGGGCAUUGCAUUUUACAGACAGAAUCCUGCAACUUCCCAGCCAGGAACAUCAACAAAUUGCCUCCAGAACCCCAUGAUGAUAUUCCAACUCCUGUCUACAAAAGUUGGAAGAAAAUCUUAAGUCUACAUUGUGUAUCUACAGUUCAACAUUCAGCGUGCUGAUGUGUAUCUCUCUUUUGAUUAAUAAAGAGGCAGCAAAAACUUGGGAUCUACAUUGGCCCUGCCACGUCUGGAGAGUAUUGUUACUGUUUAAUGAAUUAAAUUGUAAUAAAAUUUUAAAUGGACUUCUGAGUGUUGUCAUAAUUUACAUGCAUCUAAUAAUCAGUAAUAUAACAGUGUGAAAUACAUUACUUUUUGCAUACAAGCAUUUACAUUUUAUUCUUUAAGCAUGUAACAGAUUGUAGUUAGUUAUAUUUUGUGUAUAUAUGUGUAUAUAUGUGAAUAUAAAAACUACCGUAAUCAAUUAUACUGCAUAGUAAUUUUACAGUAUUUUAAAACACAGUGCAAAAAUAUGAACUAUAAUUCAUUUUACAGUAAAAAUAUACUGUAAGUUAUUAAACAGUAUGCUGUGAACUACUGUAGUCAGAUUUACAGUAAUUUUACCGUGGAAUAAAAAACUGAAGCUUGCUGGCUAUUUGUUGCCAGUAAGUUACUGUUGAUUUUACGUUAAAUUUUUUACAGUGUACUACUUUUACUUGAGUAAUAUUAUACCCUGGGUAUCUUUAGUUUUACUCAAGUACAUGAAUUGUGUACUUCGUCCACCACUGAAUCUAAGUAUGCUUGCCUAAAUGGGUUGGUUUGGGGGGGUCAGGUUCGUCGUUAUCUUUGUUUGCAUGUUCAGAUGCAGAGACGAUUGGCAAGAAGCAAGAAGCUCUUUGCAAGAAGCAAUGCUACCCUAGCUUUCUUACGAGAUUUACUGAUUUGUUAGCUACUGUUAAUGUGUGUACUAGCUCUGUUAUAUAAACAGUAGUAUAGUAAUGUGCAAUGAUACUUAAGCAAUAUCGCUCGAGUAGGAGUGUGAUAUAGC
Molecule: long non-coding RNA, 1267 nt
Organism: Misgurnus anguillicaudatus (oriental weatherfish)
Lineage: Eukaryota; Metazoa; Chordata; Actinopteri; Cypriniformes; Cobitidae
Source: RefSeq, a predicted model, not a curated record